UACAGAGGAUGCAAGCGUUAUCCGGAAUGAUUGGGCGUAAAGCGUCUGUAGGUGGCUUUUUAAGUCCGCCGUCAAAUCCCAGGGCUCAACUCUGGACAGGCGGUGGAAACUACCAAGCUAGAGUACGGUAGGGGCAGAGGGAAUUUCCGGUGGAGCGGUGAAAUGCGUAAAGAUCGGAAAGAACACCAACGGCGAAAGCGCUCUGCUGGGCCGACACUGACACUGAGAGACGAAAGCUAGGGGAGCGAAUGGG
This 253-nucleotide ribosomal RNA is filed under the name uncultured bacterium. RNAcentral's name for it is "partial 16S ribosomal RNA". It matches the Rfam family "Bacterial small subunit ribosomal RNA", at positions 524 to 776 of the family's 1533-position model. The record is from RNAcentral.